GCGAGGCCAGGUAGCAAAGGCUCCUGGUGGGAGUGGGCUCCAGCCAGUGUGGGAGCCGUGGGCAGAGCACACGAGGGGAUAUCUGGAGCCAGGCGUGGAAUGGGGGCAGGGGACCUGGCACUAAGGCAGGUGAGGCCGCGGCAUUCGCUCUGGUUAGGAGUCACAGGCAGGGCAGGAGUCCUGCUGGGUGGGCGUCCUAAUGCUCCCCAGGCUUGCAGGCAAGGAGUGAAGUGCUUGAGGCCCUGCAGGCGGGGCCAGGCUCAGGAUUGGCUGGGAUAGGGAAGCUGCUCUGCAGAGCAGAGUGGCAUUUGGGUGUGGCCCUCUGGCAGUGGCUGUGCUUGCUGGGCAUCUGAGUGCCCAUGUUGGGGGUGGCAGCAGGCCCAAGAGAGAAUUACAGGCUGGAGGUGUGGAUCUGGGAGUCCCCAUAGGCGUGGCCCUGAGACCAGGACCCAGGUUCUUCCAGACCAUUCCCAGGACCACUAUGUGGGUGCAAGUGACACAGGCCCCCAGAGCUAAGUGCCAGCCCUCAGACGCCAGGGCACAUCAGCCCAGGGCCGAGCCACAGUGGUCUCCAGAGCUGAGCC
Molecule: long non-coding RNA, 584 nt
Filed under: Homo sapiens (human)
Lineage: Eukaryota; Metazoa; Chordata; Mammalia; Primates; Hominidae
Description: HSALNT0023314
Source: RNAcentral